Molecule: long non-coding RNA, 1635 nt
Organism: Astatotilapia calliptera (eastern happy)
Lineage: Eukaryota; Metazoa; Chordata; Actinopteri; Cichliformes; Cichlidae
Source: Ensembl
GUGGGGAGGGUGUAACCCAUAUUUGAGUAUGGCUUAACUAGAAUACACCAGAAUAAAAGAAUCAUUAAUCUAAGCAGCACACUUCAUUUGUAAUGAAUAAACCAUAGGUGCAGCAGUUAAGGAGUUAACUGCUCUGGUUUAGACACGUGUUACUCUAGGCCAAUGAGCUGCUGAAACGUGGUACAGGCUCCGCCUGCCGCCCCUGCCUAGGAGGACACAGAUUUUUCUUUUCUCUCUUCCGCUCGCGAACUUUCCAUGAGCAAGCUAGUGAGGAAACGAGACACAGCGAUUUACUGAGACGAGGUAUGAAAAAGAGUAAUAUAGACGGAGAGCUAGCACUCGCCGUUUACGAAAGAUUGUUUUACUGUAUGUAUAUUGCUAAGACGAGUAAUUAGCUGGUUCUUUUUACAUUGCUUAGUCGAGAAAGGUCGGGAGUUAGAGACGAUGCCAUUUCAUCGGUCGUGCGCCAUCUCGCGCUGCUCCGUCUUUCUAAUUCUGAGAUCGGUCAGGUUUUUUUCUUUUGUUUGGUUUUGGGGUUUUUUUUGUUUCUUUGGUUUGUAUCUUCCUGGUGCAUUCCAACGGAUCCUGAAAUUGAUGGCGAGCCAACCCCGUUGAAGGACCAAAUGACUUUGUUCUGUCCUGCACAUCAGAGUGUGGUAGGCCAGAUGCAACAAAACAGAGACACACCACGCCAUUUUGUACUCGUAGUCCCCCUUUUUCACACACAUCCCCCUGGACUCACGGGCGGGUGGUUUUAAGGACACGUUUUACGGACUCUGUACAUUCCAUGAGUGUGGACAAAAGUGAGUGUGAGCGGUCAGAAAUAACCCUCCAGCUGAUUAACUGUUGCUAUUUGUAAACGAAGUCUGUGAAAAUGCAAAUAAGUGUUAACAUUUAUAUGCUGAUGAUUGACAUUGUGGUUCAUUGUUGGAUGUGAACUGUACCUCUAGAAAGGGUGCACCCAGGUAAGAUUUCUUUUUUUUUUUCCAUCGAGUGAUCACUGUGAUUUUGCCAAAAGGUAUUAUUAAGAGAGUACCGGUACCGAAAGGGAAUAAUUUCAUUUGUAAGUGUUUUGUGUGUUUGUCAUAAUGUCCUGUUAUUUCUAAUUGAAAAGAAAAAUACAAUUCCGGCUAUUUUUCAAAACUCGCGGUUGUCUGAGUCUCAUUCAGUUCGCCUCUCCUGUACGUAGCCGAACCUACUGGUCCAAAUCUGUGAGCUCUUCGGUGUCAAAUUUGGGUGACAUACUCUUGUUCUGAUCUGGGAGUAUUUGAAACACGCACAUGAGUGCUACAAAGGACAUUAGGAACAAGGACAUUUAAGGAAUGUGGAAGUUAACGUUCUGCAUACUUGUGUGCAGACUGUUUUUUUUAUUUUGAGGGACAAUUCCAUGUGUGCCAAGUGAGGAGCUGAUAUCGUGGAUCUAAGACACUGUUGCUGCUGCGGAGGCCUUCUGUGUGUCAGCACCAGAGGUGGGUAGUAACGAGUUACAUUUACUCCGUUACAUUUACUUGAGUAAGUUUUUGAAAAAAAUGUAUUUUUAAAGUACCUUUUUUGCACAAUGCUUUUUACUUUUACUUGAGCACAUUUGUGAAGAAGAAACGGUACUUUUACUCCGCUACAUUUGCAAAAUUCUAC